RNAcentral lists this unclassified non-coding RNA (635 nucleotides) under Dysphania ambrosioides (Mexican tea). Its description in RNAcentral is "sequence contains ITS1, 5.8S rRNA gene, ITS2". The stretch from base 252 to 407 matches the Rfam family "5.8S ribosomal RNA". Lineage: Eukaryota; Viridiplantae; Streptophyta; Magnoliopsida; Caryophyllales; Amaranthaceae. The record is from RNAcentral.
UCGAAACCUGCAUAGCAGAGCGACUAGCGAACAUGUUUAUCAUACAUGGGUGAGAUGCCUAAAGUCUUGCGUUGUGUGAUUCUUUGGUAGCCUCUCAUCUGUGCCUAGCGGGGUACCCCUUGACAGGGGGCUCCCUAGGAAGAAUAACAAACCCCGGCGUGGUCUACGCCAAGGAACAUAAAUACUAGUGUGCCCCCUUCGAUCGGUUAUCUGAAAGAGGCGGCGGCACCAUGUCGUACAAAACAUUAAACGACUCUCGGCAACGGAUAUCUCGGCUCUCGCAUCGAUGAAGAACGUAGCGAAAUGCGAUACUUGGUGUGAAUUGCAGAAUCCCGUGAACCAUCGAGUCUUUGAACGCAAGUUGCGCCUGAAGCCUUUUGGCAGAGGGCACGCCUGCCUGGGCGUCACGCAUCGCGUCUCCCCCUACCCAACAUGUGUGGGAAGGCGGAGGAUGAUGGUCUCCCAUGCUUCAUCGGGCGUGGAUGGCCUAAAUAAGGGGCCCUCGGCUUCGAGCUGCUGCGGCGAUAGGUGGUUGGCCAAGGCUUAGCCUAGGAUGCAUCGCGCCAAGCAGCACGUUGUCAAUGGGGCCUCACAAGACCCUUAGUUGCCUACCCUUUUGGGUGGUAUUAAUCGUU